AUGCAUAAGCUUGUCUUCCAUCUUGCUCCAAGAAUGGCGAAGCAUUGCAAGAUUUCUGUUGCCAUGGUAGCUGAUGAAGAAUCUGUGCAGAGGUCAUAUACACGGUCGUGCAUUCUCAAGGUAGAUGGAUACUCAAGAGCCAAGGCGCUACUCAAGAACGACGAGUACCUGACUUCUCCACCUUUCAGUGUUGGAGGCCACGACUGGGCCGUGACCUACUACCCAAAUGGUAGCGAGCUUUGUCCUGAUUACAUAUCUAUUUUUCUACAUCUUCGAUCCGCCCGUGCCGAAGAUGUGAAGGCGAAUUUCACGUUCAGUCUACUAGACGAGAACGGAGAACCGGUGCCUUCAUACACCCGUAACCAUGGUACACAUACAUUCUCAAGGAAAGCUCCAAACUGGGGCAACCAUAACCUGAUGAAGAAAGCCAAGCUGGAAAGAUCGGAGCAUCUCAGAGAUGAUUGUCUGACCAUCAGAUGUGAUGUCACCGUCAUGAAGGAGAUCCUCGGCGAAGAAGAAACAAGGGCUUCUCCACACGACUUGCACCAGCAUCUCGGUGAUCUCCUCAAGAGCAAAGAUGCAGCAGACCUAACAUUUCAAGUAGGCGGGGAGAUAUUCCCCGCUCAUAGGUGUGUCCUCGCCGCUCGGUCAUCUGUCUUCAAGGCGGAGCUCCUCGGCGCCAUGGAGGAGAGUUCCAGUAGUGCUAUCAAAAUAUAUGACAUGGAACCUGACGUGUUCAAGGCCUUGCUCCAUUUCAUAUACACCGACAAAGUUUCUCCUGUGAUUGAUGUGGCGAUGGCCAGUCAUCUACUCGUAGCGGCUGAUAGGUACAACAUCGGCAGCCUGAAGCAGAUCUGUGAGGAGAAACUGUGUUGUCAUAUUGAUUCAAACAUGGUGGCAACCAGUUUGGCUAUAGCUGAGCAGCAUGGUUUCCCUCGUCUCAAAGAAGCUUGUUUACUGUUCCUUGCUUCGCCACCCAAUUUGGAGGCGAUGAUGACAAGCAACGGUUAUGAGCAUCUUAAGUCCAGCUGCCCGUCUGUUCUCAAGGAGAUCAUAGCUCAAAUACUCCCGGCUGAAUGGAACGCAGCAAAGGAUAUUAUCAUGUCAAUUUAG
This 1113-nucleotide ribosomal RNA is filed under the name Triticum aestivum (bread wheat). RNAcentral's name for it is "partial small subunit ribosomal RNA". The record is from RNAcentral. Lineage: Eukaryota; Viridiplantae; Streptophyta; Magnoliopsida; Poales; Poaceae.